CCUACGGGUGGCAGCAGUGAGGAAUAUUGGUCAAUGGGCGCGAGCCUGAACCAGCCAAGUCGCGUGAGGGAAGACGGUCCUAUGGAUUGUAAACCUCUUUUGUCGGGGAGCAAAACACGCCACGCGUGGCUUUCCGCGAGUACCCUAAGAAAAAGCAUCGGCUAACUCCGUGCCAGCAGCCGCGGUAAUACGGAGGAUGCGAGCGUUAUCCGGAUUUAUUGGGUUUAAAGGGUGCGCAGGCGGAAGUUAAAGUCAGCGGUAAAAUUGAGGGGCUCAACCUCUACGAGCAGUUGAAACUGGUAGUCUUGAGUACACGAGAGGUAGGCGGAAUGCGUGGUGUAGCGGUGAAAUGCAUAGAUAUCACGCAGAACCCCGAUUGCGAAGGCAGCAUACCAAAGCGCAACUGACACUCAUGCACGAAAGUGUGGGUAUCGAACAGGAUUAGAUACCCCUGUAGUC
This 459-nucleotide ribosomal RNA is filed under the name uncultured bacterium. RNAcentral describes it as "partial 16S ribosomal RNA". It matches the Rfam family "Bacterial small subunit ribosomal RNA", at positions 338 to 795 of the family's 1533-position model. The record is from RNAcentral.